Molecule: long non-coding RNA, 2907 nt
Filed under: Equus caballus (horse)
Lineage: Eukaryota; Metazoa; Chordata; Mammalia; Perissodactyla; Equidae
Description: lncRNA (ENSECAG00000054088.1)
Source: RNAcentral
UCUGCUUAAACAUUAGGUGGAAGAAGAAUUGUUGAUUGUGUUAUAGAGGUCUUUAACCCUCCGGUGACUUCAGACCUUCUGCAUUAGACUGAGACUGCCCUCCAGGAUCUUUGCUACACAUUGUAUAAAACUUCAGUUAUUACAUAUAACUGCCAAGUGUUUGAAAAAGGAAAUAGGUAAGAGACGUGUUCCUGAGAAUGUUACUGGCACUUUGGGUUCUUAUUGUCCCCAGGGUAGAACUCAAGAGACAACAAACGGGAGUAGGAAAGUGAAAGUUUAUUAGCUUGUGCACAGGAGAGGCACAAGGGGGCCAGUGGGGAAAAGAAAGGGGCAGCUGACCAGCUCAUCAGGGAGUGUGAUUGUGGGGCUUUUAUUAGGCAAAGGCUGGCAGGGGUGCCUUGUCAUGGCAUGUAGAGGUGGGGUUGUGCUUGCGCUGGUGCUGUCACAUAACAUGCUACUACAUGCGAUGCAUGGAUCAUUAGCAUGCUAGCUCUCUGCCCCGGGUGUGAUUUUUACUAUGCUAAUAGGGCUGGGGUCACCUUCAGUGGACUCCUGGGUGCUAGGGCGCAUGUGUAAGCCCGGGAAAGUCCCAAGGCUGUGGAAUGUGGAUCUCGGUGGCCUCUAUUUGAUUUUCCUAGCUUGCCAAUUGGUUAGGGGCCUUGUCUUGUUAGGCCAGGGGCCUUUCAGAUGGCCCUGUCUCCUUAGGCUGGUUCCUGUCUUGAGAAGAGGGAGUGUAGUUGCCCUUGAGAGGAGGUUGACGGCGUCAUCUAUUAGGUGGUUGAGGGUAUUAUAUAGGAUGACGUAUGAAGAGGACUUAGCCCAGCACCUGGCAGAUAGUAAGAACUCGAUAAAUAUUAAAUUAUUAUUAUCAUCUGCCCAGUGGUUUCAACCCCCUUGCCUUCAUGUGCCAGCAACACUUCCUGAUUUUCUCAUGUCUCGCAUUUUCUUGGGUCCUUUUAUUUAUCUUAAGUUCUUCUUCUGUCCUCUGAAAUCAUGUGUCCUCUCCAUGUCAUAUCUAAGGUUAAAAAUAUAUUUAUAUUAUGUUUAUAGGUUAUAAGAUAUAUUUAUACUAAUACUCUUGAUUCAAAUAGAGACUCUCAUUGUUUUACAUAACUUCAUAUAUCUUAUAUCUGUUCUUUCUCCCAACUAAAUAUCUCAGUUCUCAAACACACCAACGUUUGCUUUAUCUCUCAAUAUUAUCACCAUUAAUUGAUUAAUCAUUAACCAAUAUCUCUCUAGAAAAGCAGUCAAAUUGCUGUGGGUUAAAGUUGUUUGAAUAGUUCUUCUCUCUGUGAUUAUACCAUUAAUUCACUGUGCAAAUAGAUUCUUUUGUUUUAUUUUGCUUUUGCUUUUUAGGGAAUUCUUUUUAAUUUUGUUUGCAAUUAUGUAAAAUAUUUGCAUAGUUCCAAAGUCAGAUCUACAAAACACAGUGUACCAGGGAACCCUAGUUUCCCUUUUUUUUUUGAAGAAGAAGAAGAUUAGCCCUGAGCUAACAUCUGCCACCAACCCUCACUUUUUUGCUGAGGAAGACUGGCUUCGUGCUAACAUCCAUGCCCGUCUUUCUCUAUUUUAUAUGUGGCAUGCUGCCACAGCAUGGCUUGACAAGCAGUGCUUAGGUCCAUACCUGGGAUCCAGGCCGGUGAAUCCUGAGCCACCGAAGCAGAAUGGGCGAAGUUAACCAUUGCGCCACCAGGCCAGCCCCACCUAGUUUCUAUUGCUAUCUCCUCUACUCUAUUUCCUCCUUCCCCCAGAGGGAGCCAUUUUAGAAAGUUUUUGGCUUAUCCUUCCAUUGUUAAAAAAUACAUAUGUAUUUAUUUGUUCUUAGCUAUAUAGUAGCAUGCUAUGUAGUUUUCCCCAGUUUUCAUUUUGAAAAUUAAAAUUUUUUAAUUGAGACAUUUGCACACAGUUCCACCUUGCUUUUCCUACAGAAUGCUUUAUGCUGGUGAUCACUCCAUGGCAGCAUGUAGAGAUAUUUUUUAUGCCUUUUUUUAUGCUCCAUAGUAUGGCAUAUUUAAUUCAACCCGCCCCCUAUUGUUAGACAUUUAGAUUGUUUCUAGUCUUUUGCUAUUACAAACAGGGCUUCAAUAAAUAGCCAUAUGCGAACACUUUUCUAUAUUUUCGUCAGUGAUUUCUUGGGAUAGAUUCCAACAAGUGGUAUCACUGCGUCAAAGAGGAAGUGCAUAUGUAAAUUUGCUAGAUGUUGCCAACCAUUCUCCUCCAUAGGGUUUGCCUCAUUCUGCUUUCCCACCCACAGUGUGCCAGAAUGCCUAUUUCCCCAUAGCUUUGCCAACAAAGUGUGUUGACAAACUUUUGGAUUUUCGCCAAUCUGAUAGGUUUAAAAAGUAGUCAAAUUUAUCGGUCUUUCCCCUUGAUCACAGCUGGAUUUUUAGCUAUAAUGAUGAAAGUCAUCUUCACUCCCAAGUUAUAGAGCAAGUCAUCCAUGUUUUUCCCCUGGAAAUUCGAAAAGUCACGUAGCUGGAGCGUGUGCAAAAGAGGAAAUCCUAAUCUGAAAUGACUGAGGAACCGAAGAUCCUCCUUUCCACAGAACUCAAGGAGUGGGACCCGAUGGGAACUUGAAAGUUGGACUCCUAUCAGAAUUGAAGGGUCAGGAAGAGCCGGUGUUAAAUUUCCUUCCCAAUCUCAUCAAAAAGCUUAGAACUCCAUCAUAAAAGUUGAGGACCUCGUAAUAAAUGUUUAGAACCCUGUCAUCAAUGUUUAAAAUCUUACCAUAAAUGUCUGAAGCCCACCAAUCAAAACCCAUAUUGCCAGCGUUUCUUCAUGCCAGCCUGUCCUCUCUAACCUCUUCCAUUUUGCCCCAAAUCCUGAAUCAGGGAGACAGGACUGAAGGCACAUGCCCCCUGUCUCCUUGCAGAUCGAUCUCACAGAAUAAAACUGAUUUCUCCCCCA